GAGUCAUGUCGUCCACGACUAGUAAGCUUUGAAAUACGUUAAAUGGGCAGCAAGAACGUGCACCAUUCUGUUGCGUAAAAGAAAACGUUAACAAUAAUAUAAAGAAAUGCGAGGACGUGUGGAAUCUGUUUUUCCCGUCAAGUGUGUUGUUGUUCUGCUUGCGUCUCGCCUACAACAAAAAUACGUCACGUGAAGUCUUUAAUGCUAAAGAUACGCCUUUCUUUACGUUUUUGGUACUAUGUCAAGUCGCGAAUGACUAGAGGAUGCAGGAAACGCUAAUGGUUCAUAAGAGGCUAGUAAAAGAGAAUGAUCGGUGCUUUUUUCACACCGAAGGUCCAAUGAAAUCGGUAACACAACACUCGAAUUGUUCCUUGUACAGAUC
Hylaeus volcanicus is the source of this 382-nucleotide long non-coding RNA. RefSeq lists it as uncharacterized. NCBI's taxonomy places the organism in Eukaryota, Metazoa, Arthropoda, Insecta, Hymenoptera, Colletidae. The record is from RefSeq and is a predicted model, not a curated record. The transcript is spliced from 3 exons.